Long non-coding RNA from Nilaparvata lugens (brown planthopper), 2495 nucleotides. RefSeq lists it as uncharacterized. The record is from RefSeq and is a predicted model, not a curated record. NCBI's taxonomy places the organism in Eukaryota, Metazoa, Arthropoda, Insecta, Hemiptera, Delphacidae. The transcript has 3 exons.
UUGGUUUUUGACAGUUGAACUUGAAGACGGUUCGGUUGUGUGGUUUGGAUUUAAUUUUUCUUUAUAAUUUACUUUUUCUCGUGUGAAUCAAAGUACUUAAUUUGGAGAUUAACAACAUAACAAAUCAUUGAAGCACCUGAGCAGAGUGAGAGGAGAGGAGAACAGCACAGAGAGCGAAGUGAGUUCUGAGCGGUUGCAUGGAGGAGGAUUGUCAUUUGGUUGGUGUUGCUAGAGUGAGAGAAGAGAUGGAGCGGACGCUGCAUUAUCAGGACAUGGAGGGGAGAGAGAGAGAGAGACAGACAACGCCAAAGGAUGGCCUGGUCAAAUGGAACAGUGGGACGGAGAAGAAAGAUAGAAGACGCAGCAAAGAAGAUACAGUUUUACAACAUAGUGGGACUCUAGUGUAAGAGUUUAUAUAAAGUGAAAACUACAAACAUUGACAUUGAAAUGUGCAUAAAAGUGAAUUAUUGAUGUGAAGUGAUAGAUAGUGAAAGGACUCGAAUUUACUUUCAUUUUCAAAAGACGUUGAAUUGUUUCAUAUUUUGUUUGUGAUGUUGUUGAUAUUGUGCAUGUUUUGCUGUAUAUUAUAAAUGCCCAUGGGGGUGGGUAUCCUAGUGGGGUAUUUUCAGGCAUCGCGGAGGCAGCUGGACGGACGGACGGACUGCGCAGAACUUCAAUCAAGGUAAAAGUCAGCUCUCGACCGAUUCUAACAGUUCAUUCUAGUUCUUUUUCUAAAUUCUUAUUUCUUUAUUUAUUCUAAUUUUUUCUUAUUUAUUCUUUAUAAUUCUUAUUUCUUUUUCUUUAAGUUCUAUUCAGAAUUCAUUUUUUCCUGAUCUGAAUCAAUUUCAGUGAGUUGAUAUUAAUUCACUAAAAUAGGAGAAAAUUAUUAACUUUGAAUUUCAAUUUUUAAUCUAUUUAAAUUCUAAAUUUUAUUCUUUUCUUGAAGAAGAAAUUAAUGUCUUGUUGAACUGUUAGAUCGGUCCUGGGCGACUUGUGUGGAAUUGGUAAUUGCAUGUCUGGACCAUCACCCCCCAAGUUUUUUCUCAGCUUUUAUACUUUUGAAUUUGUUUCUAUUUUCAGUUGCUUUGGAGUUUUUCUUUAGUUGUUUCCCUUUAUUUAUUUAUUUUUUAACUUUCCCCUGCUCUUUAUUUUUUUCAGUUUCUUUUUUCAGUUGCUUUGGAGGCGAACCUUCAGUUCAAAUUCAAUAUCGAAGUAUAUGUCGAUAAGGGAUGUUUUGUUUAGUUUGUUUCUUUUGAUUUCUUCAAAACUGUCCCCGAUUUUAUUUCAGUUUUUUAUAUUCAGUUUGGGAUUUUUCUUCAGUUGUUCCUUUCAAUUUUUUGUAAACUAUCUACAUCUACUUGGAAUUUUUCAUAUUUAUUGUAAUAAAUUAGAUUAGAUUGUAAAUUUCUGGGAUGCUGCCACACUGUUUGCUUUUUUUCAGGAGGAAAUCGUCGUCAUCAUUAAUUUGUUUACUGUUUUUGUCUUUGUUGUGUGUUGUUGCAUCUCUCAAAAUAUUGUAAUUUUUUCAAUUGUAAUAAGUUUAUACAUUGUAAAGUGUAAUUUCAUGUACUCCCUUCCUUCUCAUUGCAGCACCAUCCAUUCAUAUUUCUAACUUCGUCAUUUCAUCUCCUCUUUUUUCUCAAUUUCAUUUCCAACUUCUUGGCUUCCCGAUGAUUCAAACCCCACCUUGACCUGUAGGUCCACUCAUCUCUCAUCAUUAUUCAUUCUAUUACCCACCCACGUACAAGCCUAGAGCUCAUGUGGGCAUUAUCCAAUUAAUUUCUCUCAAAAACGUUCAUUUUCAAUUCCUCAAUAUUCUUUUACUAUUUCUGACCACCUUUCGUAUAAAAUGAUCUUUCCCUCACUUUAGCUGCAUUUACACCAAAGUUAUUAACAAAAUGUUGAUAACUUAAUCCUUAUAGAUUCUAAUAGAUUGAACGGAACUUGACAAACACAUGAAUGUUCAUCAUGUGUAUAUGAUAAGUUAUGUUCAAUCUAAUUUAAUCUAUAAAGAUUAUUAACUUUGGUGUAAACACAGCUUUUAUGAAUUCAUUACUCUCAAAUUGUAAACCCCUAAAUCUGAAUUAAUAUCAAAAUUAAGUUCCCAAUCUUCAGUGUAACCUGAAUCUUCGUCUAUUUGAAGAGCCGUCUCUGCUAAGAAUAAUUUUAAUCUCGCUUAAUAAUUAAAAUCCCACUUAAUAAUAAUUAAAAUGCCAUUCAAUAAUAUAAUAAUCCCGUUUGAAACUAGGUCCACUUACCUCUCAUCAUCAUUUUCUCUAUUUUACCCACACACAAGUCUGUAACUUAUGUGGGAAUCAUAUUCUGCUUGAAAAUCGAUUUCAAAAUCUAAAUUUUGAUCCAUUUUUAAACAUAAAUUUACACAUUCCUUUCACCCUACCACAUUGUCAUUAAUUUUACUCCCAUUGUAGUAAUCACCUGAAAUCAAUCGUUAGUUUCUUUAUAAUUAUUAUUUAACGAGAAUCCCAAUUAAAUGC